CACUGGCUGCAAGACCGACGCCUUGUCGUUCUCCCCAGACCCGGAGGGGCCUGGGAGCAGGCCCAGGUAGCCAUCCUUACUUUGUGCACUGGAGAGCCUCGGUGGGGCUUGUAUGAUUGUCCCCAAGACAUGCACUCUCCCCUGGAGGUAUUCAGAGAACACUGGGUCAGUCUACAGGGGCGGAAAUGGCUCAGGUCAGGGAGGCAGGCUCACCUUGGGGCGAGAGCUCAACUUUGCCCUUUGCCUUUGUCCCAGGCCGCUCUCAAAGGCUCAGCCCACCGCCGUGGGAAUUCCCAGGAGUGCGGGACCAUGGGGCCCAGUGGGAGAGGGGCUCCCCGGCUCAGUCAAGAUUCCCCUUCCCGCCCCGUCAUUGCCACGUCCACGGGCAAGGCACCUCUAAGGCCCCAGUUACCUCCUGCAAGAUACUGCCGCUGGACGUCAGAGAACCCUCGAGACCUUUUCUCUGUCUGAUCCCAGAGCCUGUGGCAGUCGGCACUUUCCACCGCCUCUGCUCAGCCCUGGGAAUUAGCAACAGGUGCUUCGAGCAGACCCCCGGAGCCCAUCACCAGCAUCCCAUGGAAAAGAAGGAAAACAAUUUGUUUCCUCCUUCCAAAAAAUGUGAGGAAAGAAAAUAGGCCUCAUCUUCGAUGUGAGCCAACUCUCUUCAGUUUGAUCUGUCUCAAAAGAAGUGAGAAAGUGCAGGGGUUUCCCCCUGGGUAGGAGUGAAGCAUGACAAGAGCCUGGAAACUUGGCAGGAAUGCCCUGGAUCGCAGCUCUGGCAUCAGGCCCACUUGGCAGAGGACCAGGGAGAAGAUUUCCCGUUGUCCCGACACAAUUCCCUCGGCCCAGAGGAGCAGGCACACAUGUGGGGGCGGUGCACGUGGGAAUCAAGCCUGCCAGGGAGACGCUACCCACCCCCACUGGCCCUCAAGUCCAUGGACACUCUCCAGCAUUUACUGAGCACCGCGGGGUGCACGGCACUCACCAGGGGCACUUCGUACAGCGACGUGCAACCCCGGAGGAGCAAAGCCCCGAUCCUGCCUGGUCACGCCUGCAUCACGGAAACAGAUCCAGAUCUCAGUUUCCCCAGCUUCUCCAAGAUGGUGGUCACCCUUCUCUGACUCCGACAUUCUUCUGAGCAAGCAAGGCCAUGCCCACGGCUUCCUCGAAGAGAGAACCUCUGUAUCGGGUGGUUCCUUCACAUCAUGACCUGGCCUGAGGAACACGCGGGACCAGACUGAACAGACUCCAGAUAGGCUGUGCUCCGCCUCUUUUCUGUGGCCUCUGCUGGCUGGAGAGACACAUAGAAACCCCUUGUGAGGGAAGCCCCAGUAAGGGAGAUCGGGGUGUGUGGGUGCAGAGCCUCUGGGAGGGUGGGGUCUGCGGGCCACCCUGUGUUCGGGCACCGAGCCCACCCUGUACUCCUAACCCCCUGGCCCCUUGCACAGGGUUGUGUCUCCAGUUUGAUCUCCUGGUGCUCCUUUUUCUCUCCAGAACCCUCCCUCCCACGGUCAGUGGAGACUCCCUUGUGGUACCCAGUCCUACAGAGGGUCCUAUCCUGCGCAGCCCCUGCACGGAAGUCACCUGUGUUUGGGACGCUGGCUCUGCUGGGCCAUGGCCUGAGCACAAUCCUGCACUGAGCACCACGUCUGCUCAGAAGUGCUGGACCCGCUCAGGGUUCGACCCACACAUCCAGCCCCCUGGGUAAACCAGGCUCUUCUGGGCUCCUCUCCCCUUCCUCAUCUCUGUUUAAAAAAGGAUGCCUGCGGAGCAUGUUUACUUUAUGCAUUUCCAUAACCCCAGCCUUAUCUCAAAAGAGACUCCAGGAGACUAGAGAAGGCAGUUUGAUGUCAGGAUGAGUGACACAGACCUGUCCAACCUACAACACAGCCAUGCUGGCCACGCUGGCUGGGGCAGACUCCAUGUCCUCACUGUGUGAUUGUCACGGGGCACCAUCCAGGCAGACGUGCUCACGGGGCAGACCGGGGCCCUCAGGGGGAUGUCUCUCAGUCCCCGCUCCUCACUUCACAAAAAGGUAAGGAGAGGGAGGUUCAUUUGCACAGGCUCUUACUAUUUUUCUGCCUCCACCCCCGGCCCCGGCUCUCUCCAAGCGUCAAAGGACUCCCCAGCCAGAGGACGGGCGUUUCCAGGUUAUGCCUUCCUAGACAUCUUGGUCCACACAGCUCCACAGCUCUUAUGGAAGUGAGAACCACGGGGCCUGCCUGGCGAUCCGAGAGGCUGCACAAGACGGCUCACCCAGCCCGGGGAAGAGCUGCCCUGUUAGAAUGCAAGGAACCUCGCAAAGGGCUGCUUCGAGUUUACCAGCAUUACCAAAUCAAAGUGUCUGCACAAUAGCGCCGGGGAUCCCGGAGAAAGAAGCCCUUCUGCUUCUGUCCAAAGCCUGGAAAUGGUCUCCGCAGAAUGGCUCUUUCUCCAGAGGCUCACCCGCUUCCCACGAGCCAGCAACACUCUCCGGCGACGUUAAUCCCAGUUCCUGGGACAAUGCUCAAGUACCUGCUGAUUUGUGGUUACUCGUUCGGUGUGUCUUCCCCGCAGAGCUGUGGACAUCAGAACAGCCCUGUGCCGCUUCAGGAAUAAGACUGAUGCACUGGUUUCUUGUAGCCGCUGUAACAAACCAGCACAAACUGGGCGGCUCAAAACAACAGAACCUUAUUCUCUCUCUGCGCGGGAGGCCAGAAGACUGAAAUCAAGGUAUCGGCAGGGCUGUGCUCCCUCUGAGGGGAGGAUCCUUCCUCACCUGUCUCCCAGCUUCCGAUGCUGCUGGCAAUCCUUGGUUUCCUUGGCUUGUAUUUUUUUUUUUUUUAAGAUUUAUUUAUUUAUUUGAGAGAGCGAGAAUGAGAGAGAGAGAGAGAGAGAGAGAGUAUAUGAGAGGGGGGAGGGUUAGAGGGAGAAGCAGGCUCCUCGCCGAGCAGGGAGCCCGAUGCGGGUCGAUCCCGGGACUCCAGGAUCAUGACCUGAGCCGAAGGCAGUCGCUUAACCAACUGAGCCACCCAGGCGCCCCGGUUUCCUUGGCUUGUAGCGGCAUCAUCCUCAUCUCUGUCUCUGUUGUCACCUGACAUUCUUCCCGUGUGUCUGUGUCUCUUCCUUUUCUUCUAAGGGCACCAGUUCCAUCAGAUUAAGGACCCCCUCUGCGUCAGUAUGAGCUCAUCUGAACUAAUUAUACCUGUGAUGGCCAUAUUUCUGAAUAAGACCAUGUUCUAAAACUCCAGGAAGGACACGAAUUUGGGGGCACACUCUCCAGCCCAGCGAAACUGAUGGGUCUUCCCUUUUACCUUCAGCUGUUGCUAGGAUGAGGCCCUUGCCCGGCCUCUGUUGUUGCUGCACUGGUAGAUCUCUUCAGACUCUCGGUGGCUCCCUUAGAACUGCCAGUGGUCCCUAAUUAGUGCCUUUUGAUCUAUCACAGAAAGUUGUGGGUGAGCAAGAAAAGGCUGAGAACUCUGGAAAGAGGAGAUCCAGUCUUGCAUUGGCAAUCCAGAGGGGAUCGUUCAGAUCUAGGGUCCCUGGAAGUCAGCAAACACUUGUUUUUUGCACACACUGCAGGAUGGGAGGGUGUGACUCCUGAGUGUUGGGAUUAACCCUGAGGUCUCCCCGGGGGAAUGAGGGAAAGGUCGUUUUCAUGGGACCUUGGCACUAUUCCUUUGGGCCCUUCCCAAAUAGUGAAGUUUGAAUUGCAACUUGUCUGCAGAGGAGGAUGUACAUCCAUCCCUGCUUUGCCAGCAGAAAGGGUAUGGGUAUGUGACAUUGGGCAUGGACAUUUCUGAAGUUCAGAGCGCAUGGGCUGGAGCAGUGGGAAGUGGGUCUCGGACGGGCUUCUCUCACAUCUUGGGGUCAGUCGUGUCCUGGAGUAAUUGACAAGGCCCAGCUUCUAAAUGGACCCCGUCACACUCUGUCAUUGCCAAUGGGGGUGGGCUUGGCUUGAUUUCCAGGAAACAGAAUAAAUACAAAAGCAAUUGUACUGCAGGGGUGGGGUGGUGAGGCAUGGAGCAGGUCAGAGCGCUUUGUCCAGUUGGUUCUCAAGCAUGUGAAAUCCGUAACAGGGCUUCUGGAGGGACAAAAAUACUAACCUUGUUCAAUAAAACCUAGGUAUCUUUAAAAAAAAAUCAAUUUUAUUGAGGUAUAAGUCACAUACCAUAGGCAAAAGGUACAAAGUAUACAGUCUGAUGGUUUCGAUACAGUCACAGAGUUGUGCAACCUCAAGUCAAUUUUAGAACGUUUUCAUCACCCCAAAAGGAAACCUGCACCCCUUAGCUUAAUGCCCUGCUCCCCUAGCAGUAGAAAACUAAGCUACUUUCAAUCACUAUAGAUUUGCUUAUUCUGCUCAUUUCAUGUAAAUUAUACCAUACAAUAUGUGGUCUUUUGUGACUGGUUUCUGGCACUUAGCAUCAUGUUUUUAAGGUUCAUCCACGUUGUAGCAUUUGCCACUACUUUGUUCCUUUUGAUGGCCAAGUAAUAUUCCAUCAUAUGGAUACAUCAAAUUUUGUUUAUCCAUUUAUGUUUUGAUGGACAUUGGGUUGUUUACAUCUUUUGGCUAUGGUGGAUAAUGCUGUUAUUGAUCCAUACCAGUUUUUGUGUGGAUAUAUAUUUUCAUUUCUCUUGAGUACACACCCAGGAGUGGAAUUGCUGGGUCUUAUGGUAAUGAUGUUUCACCUUUUGAGGAACCGCCAGACUGUUUUCCACAGCAGCUGCACCAUUUUGCAUUCUUACCAGCAAUGUAUGAAGGUUCUAAUUUGGCCAACACUUGUUAUUAUCUGACUUUUAUAUGAUAGCCAUGCUAGUGGGCAUGAAGUGUAUUCUCAUUACUAUUUUGAUUUGCAUUUCCCUGAUGGCUCAUGAUGUUGAGCAUCUCUUCAUGGGCUUAUUGAACUUCAUGUGCUUAUUGUGCAUAUCUUCUUUGGAGAAAUGUCAGUUCAGAUCCUUUGCCCAUUUUUCAAAUUGGGUUGUCUCUUUAUCAUUCCGUUGCAACUGUUCUUUAUAUAUUCUAGAUAUAAAUCCCUUAUAAAACAUAUGAUUUUCAAAAAUUUUCUCCCACUCUGUGUGUUGACUUUUUUUACUUUGAAAAGCAAAAGUUUAUUGGUGAAUUCCACUUUAUCUAUUUUUUCUUUUGUUGCCCGUGCUUUUGAUGUCCUAGCUGAGAAUCCUCUGCCAAAUCCAAGGUCGUGAAGAUCUACCCCUGUGUUUUCUUCUAAGAGUUUUAUAUUUUAGCUCCUACAUUGUGGUCUUUGAUGUAUUUUUUUUUUUUUGAAGAUCUAAUUGGCUUUAUUCAACAAUUCAUGAACUGGGCAGCAUCCCAUCUAGCAGGUAGAAAGGAACUCCUUGAUGUAUUUUGGUUUAAAAACCACAGACAUGCUUUACAACAGUGAGAUAUUUGGCAGGAGUGUGUAGGACGACUUACCCAAUGACAUAUUUUUGAUUUUUUAACAGAUUUAUUGACUUCAAAAUUUCAUUUCCUGUGUGCGCAUUUAUUUAUACGCACACAUAAAUAUGCACAGCAGUAUAAUAAUAGUAGCUCUUGCGGCCACAUGGGAAGUGGUGUACUAAUGUGGGCAGACAAUAACUGGAAACAUCAAGGACACUUAACAAUGGAUUUUGCACUUUUUGAGACCAAUCUCUUCUUACACAUCAAAGAGUGCGGCCAGAUUUUUGAUUGACAGCAGCAAAAAAUAGGACAGAGAUUACAUGAAUCAAGCGAUAAUUUUCUCGGGCACCUGGGUGGCUCAGUCGUUAGGCGUCUGCCUUUGGCUCAUAUCAUGAUCCCGGGGUCCUGGGAUCGAGCCCUGCAUCGGGCUCCCUGCUCGGCAGGAAGCCUGCUUCUCCCUCCCCCACUCCCCCUGCUUGUGUUCCCUCUUUCGCUGUGUCUCUCUCUGUCAAAAAAAUGAAUAAAAUAUUUAAAAA
Long non-coding RNA from Mirounga angustirostris (Northern elephant seal), 5913 nucleotides. RefSeq lists it as uncharacterized. The record is from RefSeq and is a predicted model, not a curated record. The transcript is spliced from 3 exons. Lineage: Eukaryota; Metazoa; Chordata; Mammalia; Carnivora; Phocidae.